GAUGAACGCUAGCGGCAGGCCUAAUACAUGCAAGGCGAGGGGUUGGCAACAACACCGUCGUACGGGUGCGUAACGCGUAUGCAACCUACCUAUCACAGGGGGAUAGCCUUUGGAAACAGGGAUUAAUACCGCAUAAAGCAGGGGCUUGGCAUCAAGAUACUGCUAAAGAUUUAUCGGUGAUAGAUGGGCAUGCGUCUGAUUAGUUAGAUGGUGAGGUAACGGCUCACCAUGACGAUGAUCAGUAGGGGGCGUCAGAGCGUGGUCCCCCACACUGGCACUGAGAUACGGGCCAGACUCCUACGGGAGGCAGCAGUAGGGAAUAUUGGGCAAUGGAUGCAAGUCUGACCCAGCCAUGCCGCGUGGAGGAAGAAGGUCCUCUGGAUUGUAAACUCCUUUUGUCGGGGAAGAAGAGUCAUCUUGCGAGGUGAUGUGACGGUACCCGAUGAAUAAGCCACGGCUAACUACGUGCC
Molecule: ribosomal RNA, 470 nt
Filed under: uncultured bacterium
Lineage: Bacteria
Description: bacterial SSU rRNA
Rfam family: Bacterial small subunit ribosomal RNA
Source: RNAcentral